AUGCAGCUGGCGGGGGGGAGGGGAGGGCCGGGUCAAAACGGGGUGCGAGGGGUGGGAGCACCGGGCUGCAGUCCGGCGGCCCCGGAGCCGAGGGCUGUCCCAGCCCGCCCGCUCGGUGCCCUUGGCGCGGCGGGAAGCGCUAGGACCCGGCCUGCCGCGGCCGGCACUGCUGGCACCGGGCGCUCCGGGACGGGACCGUACCCUGCAGGCGGCGGCGCCACGGGAAGGAGCCGGCAGCCCCCAGAAAAACGUGUCGAGUUGUGCAAGGAAGCAGAGGGACAGCAGGAUGCUGGCAAUCUGUGUAGCUCCCUGCAAGUGGUGAUGUGCCAGCUGGAUCUCUGUGCCACAGGCGGCAUCCAGGAGGAUAUUGCAGCUCACUCCUUCCCCACCUCGUCCCAGCAAGGCUCAGGCCAUCAGGUGAGCAACAUCUCUGCCCUACCAUCUCAUCCCAAAAUACAGGGCAGGGCAUCAAGAGCCCAGGGAUCACCAUCAGGAGUCCUGCAAGCAAUGACUGGAGAUCUACCACCCCAAAAAGAGUCUGCCAACAGCUCUUCAGACAGGACCCCGCUCCAGGGUCAGUGAGGACCAGCAAGGGAAUAGCAAAACUAAAAUGAUCAGUCCCCCAGCCAUUUGCUGACCUCAGCAACAGGCUGAGAUGCUUUGUUGAGUAUCAAAGCAUCCACAAUCACUGUAGUCUUGUAAUAACUGGAUUCCCAGGAGCCUGCAGUAGAUUUUUUUUCCCCUACUAAUAGAUUAAUAACCUGCUGGCACUUGACAGAGGUUCAGCAUCUUCUGUGUUUCCCUCCAUGCAACUGAUUAAAAGUUGCCUUUUCCCGCUUUCCCCAUACAGCUGCCUUGUCGCACUUGCAGGCAGUUGGAUACAGCUGCUAAUCUGCUUGCCAUUCUAUUCCUGGCCUGCCUGCUCUGCCUUUUGGACAUACUGGCUCUCUGUUUCUCUGGUCUGUGGAGAACCAAAGGACCAGCACAGAGGCUUUAUGAGCUGACCUGCCCAUGCUUUCCUCUGGAAUGGGGCAGGCAGCAGCCAAUGGAGGGAAACACAGUCAGUGUGGGUCAUGCUUGUAAAGGGAAGAGUGGUUUUGCAAUGAAAAGGAGAACUGGAUGGCAUGCAGACCCCUGGCCUCAGCUCUGCUGCAGGCUGAUGGUCUUGCCAUGCCUCAGUUUACCCUGUCCCUAGGACAGGCACAUUACAGGGAAAGGGAAAUCUCAUUGCAGAGGAGGGCUGGUGGGUUAAUUAAUGUAUGGAUGCAAAGUGCUUGCAAAUCUCCAAGGAAAAUGAUUGAUGUGGGUGCCAAGCGUAAAGGAUUCUGGAAGCAUUAACUGCCUGCAAAUGCUGCCGAGCUCCUCAGGCCCUAAAACUCAUAUAUUGCCCAAAAGGCACCAAAAAUAUUCCACUAGCUCCUAUGGUGCAUUACCCACUGCCUGGAAUAAAUCUCCCAUUUUGCUCUUGCUUUCCA
Molecule: long non-coding RNA, 1475 nt
Filed under: Parus major (Great Tit)
Lineage: Eukaryota; Metazoa; Chordata; Aves; Passeriformes; Paridae
Description: lncRNA (ENSPMJG00000014852.1)
Source: RNAcentral